AAAAUGAAUCGUAAUUUCCUGUCGAUAUGCACAUCUACGUAGUAUGUCCUUAUUAUCUGAAAAGGUUUCAUGAAAUUCUGUUGUGUGGUUUGAGAGGAGUUGCGAUGACAAAAGGUUGCAGUAGUAUAUUGGGCAAAUAAGUUCAAAGGGGCGUAACUCCUGGAAAAAAAUUGAACAGUAAUUUCCUGUCGAUAUGCACAUCUACGUAGUAUGUCCUUAUUAUCUGAAAAGGUUUCAUGAAAUUCUGUUGUGUGGUUUGAGAGGAGUUGCGAUGACAAAAGGUUACAGUAGUAUAUUGGGCAAAUAAGUUCAAAGGGGCGUAACUCCUGAAAAAAAAAAUGAAUCGUAAUUUCCUGUCGAUAUGCACAUCUACGUAGUAUGUCCUCAUUAUCUGAAAAGGUUUCAUGAAAUUCUGUUGUGUGGUUUGAGAGGAGUUGCGAUGACAAAAGAUUGCAGUAGUAUAUUGGGAAACAAGUUCAAAGGGGCGUAACUCCUGGAAAAAAAAUUGAAUCGUAAUUUCCUGUCGAUAUGCACAUCUACGUAGUAUAUCCUUAUUAUCUGAAAAGAUUUCACAAAAUUCUGUUGUGUGGUUUGAGAGGAGUUGCGAUGACAAAAGGUUGCAGUAGUAUAUU
Mytilus californianus (California mussel) is the source of this 632-nucleotide long non-coding RNA. RefSeq lists it as uncharacterized. The transcript has 2 exons. NCBI's taxonomy places the organism in Eukaryota, Metazoa, Mollusca, Bivalvia, Mytilida, Mytilidae. The record is from RefSeq and is a predicted model, not a curated record.